GCCCGCCUAGCUCAAUCGGAUAGAGCGUCAGACUCUUAUCGUUAUGACAUAGGCGGGAUCUGAAGGCUGCGAGUUCGACCCUCGCGGUGGGCU
Non-coding RNA from Pholiota conissans, 93 nucleotides. The record is from the annotation of a GenBank genome assembly. NCBI's taxonomy places the organism in Eukaryota, Fungi, Basidiomycota, Agaricomycetes, Agaricales, Strophariaceae.